UACAGAGGUCUCAAGCGUUGUUCGGAUUCAUUGGGCGUAAAGGGUGCGUAGGUGGCGCGGUGAGUCGGGUGUGAAAUCUCGGAGCUUAACUCCGAAAUUGCAUUCGAUACUGCCGUGCUUGAGGACUGGAGAGGAGACUGGAAUUUACGGUGUAGCAGUGAAAUGCGUAGAUAUCAAGUGGAACACCAGUGGCGAAGGCGAGUCCCUGGACGACUCCUGACACUGAGGCACGAAAGCUAGGGGAGCAAACAGG
This 253-nucleotide ribosomal RNA is filed under the name uncultured bacterium. Its description in RNAcentral is "partial 16S ribosomal RNA". It matches the Rfam family "Bacterial small subunit ribosomal RNA", at positions 524 to 776 of the family's 1533-position model. The record is from RNAcentral.